Non-coding RNA from Macaca mulatta (Rhesus monkey), 377 nucleotides. The record is from RefSeq and is a predicted model, not a curated record. NCBI's taxonomy places the organism in Eukaryota, Metazoa, Chordata, Mammalia, Primates, Cercopithecidae.
GGUCUCAAACUCCAGGGCUCAAGCAAUCCACCCUCCAUGGCCUCCCAAAGUGCUGGAAUUACAGGUGUGGACCAUUGCACUGGCCUGCAUUUCUUUCUUAAGCUAACAUCUUCUGGUCAAACAACUCUCCUUUUCAAAGGGACCAGGCACAGUUUCUGCUUACCCCUGAGUAGCCGUUUUCAGUUCCCUGGCAGUCUGUGGAGUUUUUCAAACAAGCCAAUCACCUCCUCCUGUGGGAACUGAGAAGCACCCCACCCUCUCGAUACUACAAAGCCCCUGCUUGUUCCCUAGUGCAACUCCCGGGUGGUCCUGCGGAGCAUAUGGUACCUUCCUUUCCUGGGCAGUGAGCAUAUGUGACUAAUAAACUGUCUAUCUCA